RNAcentral lists this ribosomal RNA (468 nucleotides) under uncultured bacterium. RNAcentral's name for it is "partial 16S ribosomal RNA". It matches the Rfam family "Bacterial small subunit ribosomal RNA", at positions 28 to 507 of the family's 1533-position model. The record is from RNAcentral.
GACGAACGCUGGCGGCGUGCUUAACACAUGCAAGUCGAACGGAAAGGCCCUGCUUUUGUGGGGUUCUCGAGUGGCGAGCGGGUGAGUAACACGUGAGUAACCUGCCCUUGACUUUGGGAUAACUUCAGGAAACUGGGGCUAAUACCGGAUAGGAGCUCCUGCUGCAUGGUGGGGGUUGGUAAGUUUCGGCGGUUGGGGCUGGACUCGCGGCUUAUCAGCUUGUUGGUGGGGUAGUGGCUUACCAAGGCUUUGACGGGUAGGCGGCCUGAGAGGGUGACCGGCGACAUUGGGACUGAGAUACGGCGCAGACUCCUACGGGAGGCAGCAGUGGGGAACAUGGCACAAUGGGCGGAAGCCUGAUGCAGCAACGCCGCGUGCGGGAUGACGGCCUUCGGGUUGUAAACCGCUUUCGCCUGUGACGAAGAGUGAGUGACGGUAAUGGGUAAAGAAGCACCGGCUAACUACGUG